GCUUACGGCCACACCACCCUGAGCACGCCCGCUCUCGUCUGAUCUCGGAACCCAAGCAGGGUCGGGCCUGGUUAGUACUUGGAUGGGAGACCGUCUGGAAAUACUAGGUGCUGUAAGCAU
RNAcentral lists this ribosomal RNA (120 nucleotides) under Misgurnus anguillicaudatus (oriental weatherfish). The record is from RNAcentral. Lineage: Eukaryota; Metazoa; Chordata; Actinopteri; Cypriniformes; Cobitidae.